GGAACUGGCUUCAACUCAUGCAGAGGGUGCUAAAAGCGCCUCAAGCCUCCAGUAGUUGUGCAGAAGCAUCCUUUAGGAAAUGGAGCAAAUGAUUUCCCACAGGCCUGCUGCAAAAUCUGAACAUCAUCUGAAAGUACAAGAUUUUCUUCAGAAUCAGCUCCCCAGAAAAAGGGUACGCUCCCAUCAGCAUCAGCAGCUAUAAAUGUGGCAUUUGAACUGCUAUCAUAUAGAAUAAAAGCAUAUUUCCCUUGUAUAUCUCGGACAACCUGAUCAGCAGGAUAAGGUCCUCGAUCUCGGAGGGUUCUGUAAGCUUCAAUAACAAUGAUCACCUCAUUUGCUGUUUUAUUUAAGCCAUAUUGCUGCUUAAGAACUGCAACAUUCUCAAUGUUCCCUUGGAACAAGCAGAAAAUGUCGUCUACAACUGCAAAUAAUCUAGGAAGGAGAGGGUUUUGCUUGUCAAGGGAGUAAGCAAUAACACCAGCAGAGCCAAGAUUGACAGUAACAGAACCGGAGUGGACAGAGCCAAAAUGCUUGGCCAAAAACCCAUCUUUUAGAGCGGAAUUAGAGCCAGAAAGCGGGCUCUGCAGCGCCUCCGGGCACUUGGCCACCGUUUUGUCAAAGAUUGCCAACAUUUUCCGGUGAUUGUUUUGUAAAUAAUUGGUAUUCUGGUAUCCGUAAAACCAGAGAGACGAUAGAAGUUUGAGGUAGUUAUACGAGGUUGCGAGCACUUUAAUUUUUACUUCCAAUAUU
RNAcentral lists this unclassified non-coding RNA (750 nucleotides) under Hevea brasiliensis (rubber tree). Lineage: Eukaryota; Viridiplantae; Streptophyta; Magnoliopsida; Malpighiales; Euphorbiaceae. The record is from RNAcentral.